AUUCCAGCUCCAAUAGCGUAUAUUAAAGUUGAUGCAGUUAAAAAGCUCGUAUUUGAAUUUUUGUCUGUUGGGGCCUUGUUCUGUCCUUAGUGGCGGAGUUUAGUGUCCCGACGGACUUCCUGGGGGCCAACUAGUUGGUGUUUCAUUACACUGAUUAGGGAACCCCCUCGUUUACUGUGAAAAAAUUAGAGUGUUUCAAGCAGGCGUUUCGCAUUGAAUACAUUAGCAUGGAAUAAUAAGAUAGGACUUUGGUGCUAUUUUGUUGGUUUGCACACCAAGGUAAUGAUUAAGAGGGACAGUUGGGGGUAUUCGUAUUAUCAUGUCAGAGGUGAAAUUCUUGGAUUUUGGUAAGACGAACUACUGCGAAAGCAUUUACCAAGGAUGUUUUCAUUG
This 393-nucleotide ribosomal RNA is filed under the name Labyrinthulaceae sp. Its description in RNAcentral is "partial small subunit ribosomal RNA". It matches the Rfam family "Eukaryotic small subunit ribosomal RNA", at positions 582 to 975 of the family's 1831-position model. The record is from RNAcentral. Lineage: Eukaryota; Bigyra; Labyrinthulida; Labyrinthulaceae.